AAAGGUAUAGCUCAGUGGUAGAGCGCAUGCUCAGCACCCAGAAGGUCCUGGGUUCAAUCCCCCGUACCUCCU
RNAcentral lists this transfer RNA (72 nucleotides) under Camelus ferus (Wild Bactrian camel). It matches the Rfam family "tRNA". From Rfam's summary of the family: Transfer RNA (tRNA) molecules are approximately 80 nucleotides in length. Lineage: Eukaryota; Metazoa; Chordata; Mammalia; Artiodactyla; Camelidae. The record is from Rfam by way of RNAcentral.